GAUGAACGCUGGCGGCGUACCUAAUACAUGCAAGUCGAGCGAACAGACGAGAGUGCUUGCACUCUCUGACGUUAGCGGCGGACGGGUGAGUAACACGUGGGUAACCUACCUAUAAGACUGGGAUAACUUCGGGAAACCGGAGCUAAUACCGGAUAAUAUUUAGCUUCGCAUGAAGCAAUAGUGAAAGACGGUUCUGCUGUCACUUAUAGAUGGACCCGCGGUGUAUUAGCUAGUUGGUGAGGUAACGGCUCACCAAGGCAACGAUACAUAGCCGACCUGAGAGGGUGAUCGGCCACACUGGGACUGAGACACGGCCCAGACUCCUACGGGAGGCAGCAGUAGGGAAUCUUCCGCAAUGGACGAAAGUCUGACGGAGCAAUGCCGCGUGAGUGAAGAAGGUUUUCGGAUCGUAAAACUCUGUUGUAAGGGAAGAACAAGUACGUUAGUAACUGAACGUACCUUGACGGUACCUUACCAGAAAGCCACGGCUAACUACGUG
This 499-nucleotide ribosomal RNA is filed under the name uncultured bacterium. RNAcentral describes it as "partial 16S ribosomal RNA". It matches the Rfam family "Bacterial small subunit ribosomal RNA", at positions 28 to 507 of the family's 1533-position model. The record is from RNAcentral.